UGAACGCUGGCGGCAUUGGCUAAAACAUGCAAGUCGAACGGCCGCAAGGGCUAGUGGCGAAAAGGGGUUAGUAAUACGAUCGAACGUACCCUAAGGUGGAGGAUAGGCAUGGGAAACUGUGCGUAAUACUCCAUGUGGUCUCCGGACCAAAAAUUUAUUGCCUUUUGGAGCGGCGAUCGUCCUAUCAGCUAGUUGGCGGGGUAAUGGCCCACCAAGGCGAAGACGGGUAGCAGGUGUGAGAGCACGACCUGCAACAUCGGGACUGAGACACUGCCCGGACUCCUACGGGAGGCUGCAGUAACGAAUCUUCCGCAAUGGGCGAAAGCCUGACGGAGCAAUGCCGCGUGCGGGAUGAAGCGCCUAUGGCGUGUAAACCGCUGUCAGGGGACGGAACCAAUGAUUGUCCCCAGAGGAAGUGGCGACUAACUCUGUGCCAGCAGUCGCGGUAAUACAGAGGCCACGAGCGUUAAUCGGAAUCACU
Molecule: ribosomal RNA, 481 nt
Filed under: uncultured bacterium
Lineage: Bacteria
Description: bacterial SSU rRNA
Rfam family: Bacterial small subunit ribosomal RNA
Source: RNAcentral